GCCGGUUUAGCUCAGAUGGUAGAGCGCCUGAUUUGUAAUCAGGAUGUCGCGAGUUCGAAUCUUGCAACCGGCACCA
This 76-nucleotide transfer RNA is filed under the name Affinundibacterium amnicola. Its description in RNAcentral is "tRNA-Thr". It matches the Rfam family "tRNA". Rfam says of the family: Transfer RNA (tRNA) molecules are approximately 80 nucleotides in length. Their secondary structure includes four short double-helical elements and three loops (D, anti-codon, and T loops). Lineage: Bacteria; Pseudomonadati; Pseudomonadota; Betaproteobacteria; Burkholderiales; Oxalobacteraceae. The record is from RNAcentral.